GCUCAUUGAAUAAUCCAGGAGAGCAUUUGUAUACUCUUUUGGGUCUUGUACUCUUGUAAUAUAUAUGAAAUCAUUCUAACACACACAAUCACCUUCUACACACCUUGGUGGAAAAUGAAAUCCGCACAUAUUGCGUGGACAAUGAGCAUCAAUGACACAAUGAGAAUGACUCACUAUAAUGAAGAAAGAGAAGAAAAAAAAUAUUACUAAAAUAUGAUAAAAUAUUGAGUAUGAAGUAACCAAAAAAAUUUAAAAGGAUAGAAAUGGUUUUACCUUUAACCAACAUUGCAACAAAAAAUAUAAAAAGAAAAAUGAUCAUAGCAUAAACAUUUGCUCUUGGUGGAAUCAUGUUUGUUCCUGUGUUUGUUGUUAGUAACUUUUAGCAGUAUCUUAUAUUGUAAUUGGUCUCCUAACUUUUUAUUAUAUUGGCUGUUAUUUUGGCUUUAGCAUAGGUGAUUUUGCAAAUUUCUUUCUGUAUUGUGGUGAGUGUCGAUUAAGACAUUGUUUAUCUUGUUUGGGUUAGCACCCCUUGUGUCUAACUUUUUAUUUAAUUAAAUUUUCCGUUUAAUAUUUUUUAAAUUUUAGUCAUAUUUUUCACCCUUUGCAUAUUUGAAAUAGAAUUAUAUUUUAAAGUUUCUAAAGUUUAUGAUCUCCUUACAUCAAGUAAAUAGAUUUUAACUCUUAUAGAGUUGUAAAAAAAACUUCCAAAAAAUUUAAUAAUUCCUCAAAAAAAAAUUAAUAAUUAUUAAAUGUUUCUUAAUUACAUCAAUGUGUUGUUGUUAUCCCUUUUUUUUUUUUGUAGUGGCCAAGGUUUUCAAACCCUGGACCUUGCAUAUUUUAUACAUUGUUAUCCCUUUACCACACUUAAUAAGGUCAUAUAAAAAACUUACCAUUCCAAAGAGUUCCUUCUACUUUUUUUUACCAAAUUUUUAUUAUUUUGUGACCUUUCAUGAUAGAAAAGGAAAAUGAUGUGGUGGGUGAAUUUCGAACCCCAAACAACCCUUUUAUUCAUCUUAAGAGAUACGAUUCUAACUAUUAAAUUAUUUGACAAAAAAAGAAAAAACGAUAAAACAAUAAUAAUAAUGUUAUAAUUACUAAAUAUCUCUUAGAUAUGCAUAAUAUAUCCUUUAGAAUGAGAUAACAUUUUUGUCACAAUUUUUUAUUAUCUCACAGUGUGAGGGUAUCAAGCUGGAAUGCAUUUGAAAAUUUGUGAAAGAAUUGAUUAAGAAAAGAUUGGAUUGUAAGGAUAAAUUAUUGAGUUGAGAUUAAUCAGGAGAAAUGGAAUUGAAAUCCAUUCUCCAAAAGAACAAACUAUUCCAUUCUCCAAAAGGGAAAAGGUUAGAAUAACAUGAAUAUGUGUUUCAAACCAUAUCUUGAAAACGCAUAGAGAUUCGGCCACGGCUCCGCCUCUCCUAUGAUGGAGAGUUACUAAUGACCAGUGCAAACCUCUAUUUUUUAAGCUAUAUAGCUCUCUACAUCAUUUCAUCGAUGUACGAAGCUAUAACUUCCAUAAUUCAGAGUUGUAACUUUCUAAAUCUUGCAAACCUAUAUUUUUUAUGUGAAUUUCUAAAUCCUUUUUAUAUGCUUUGUUUACUUGUGCAUUCUAUUUUAGUAUCUAAGAAUCUUAAAAUUGUAUUUGUGUUGUUUGUCAUUUUGGAUGUUAAAUAACUAAACUUGGUAUUUGGAAAUACUUAAAACUAAUCCACAUCAAUCCUCAUUGGAUCGAUACUUUACUUACUUUUUAUUACUUCUUGCGAUAGUGUAUACUUGCACUAGAUAUGCAUUCAAAAUAAUCAACUAUUUUCUAAGCAUCAAUAGUUGCUCUAAAUCAGUGCCUAGUAUUUUGUUUUUACGUUUUAUUUUAUUGUUUCGAGUUUAUAUCCACCGUCCAUUUUAUCUGAUGGUUGGGGAUGGAGCAUCGGAGAGCACUGCAUGGAUUUGGGUUGUCGAAGAUCCAAAUUGUUGUGUUUGUUUUUUUUAAGGGUCAUUUUAAUCAGUGUCUCCGGAGUACUGGUUAAGGAAACAAAUAUAGUAAUAUUUACAUUGAAAGAUGUGUAAUUAAUGCAUUAAAAAAUUAAUAAGUGUCUUUUUUGACUUUCACUUUCUUCUUUUGCCCUCCUUAACCAGUGCCCCGCCCCCGGUUAACAUUUCCCUUUUUUUAAAUAACUAAGAUAGGGAAAAGUUUGUACUACUAUUAAUUAAAAUGGCACAAAUGCUCGUUUUACAGUCAUCCUUGAAAAUAUUUGAACUUUAUAUAUUGAGGUUACAAGGAUAAACUUGUAAAGUGAGCUAGCACUUCAAGUGUCAUUUGCUUUGUGUUUCACUAUGACAAAAAUCUUACAAAAGAAGAGGAUGUAGCCAACUCGCUCACCAUGCUUUCCGCUACCUAGGUUACAUCUUUUGUUGGGAACUGCCCUCUUGUGACAAUAAUCUUGCAUUUCUUAAUUAUUUUCAUAUGGCUUAAUACAUGCUUUGGUCCCUUAACUUAUUUUCGGAUUUCAUUUUGGUCCCCUAACUAUAAAGUGUCUCAAUUUGGUCCCUUAUGUCUUUUGUCGUUAUCUCUUUUGAUCCUAUCCUUUACAUUUUAACUGUUUGAUCUAUUUUUCAAAUAGAAGCCGUUGGAUCAUGUAGGUGUAUUGUAUCCUACGGUAAAUGAUUAACACCUGAUUUUUUUUAAGCCAAAAAUAUAUAAAAAAUUCAUAUUUUUUAUAAAAUCAUUUUCAAAAUUAAAAAAAUUUAUUUUUAUACGAAAUUUUUAAAAAAGGUCAGUUUUUUUUUUCGAAAAAAAAGGUUUUUUAAAUUUUCUCUACAAAAUUCUAGAAAAAAUUUAUAAAAAAUUCAGAUUUUAAAAUUAGAAAAAAAAAUAUUUCAGAAUUUUUAUAAAAAUUUUUCCAAGAUUUAAAAAUUUGAAAAAAAAAUAUUUUUUUACGAAAUUUCGAAAAAAGGUCAGAUUUUUUUUUUCCCGAAAAAAAAUGUUUUUUUAAAUUUUUUUCUACAAAAUUCUGAAAAAUAUUUUAAUUUAAAAAAUCCGGUGGAUUCUAGAGUGAGUGAUCAAUUAAGUCCCUCACCGGUGGACCAUGAAAAAAUUACAGUUGAAUUUAUUGAAUGGACCAGAUUUGUUAGAAAUAAAAAUGAAAACUUAUGCACCUUUCCACACACAAUCUUGUCUCGCCUCUUCUCCUUUCCAUCCUACCAUGUCCGAUCACCCCACCCUUCAGUUUUAUCUGAUUUGUUUUCCUCUCAAACCAAUUUUUUCUUCUAUCUCAUAAUUAUAGUAUCGAAAUUCAUGGCAAGGUUGAACCAACCAUCCAACACUGUUACACUUAUUAAAAAAGGCAAAACAAUAGAAUAUAAUCAUUUUUUAUUUGCUCAAAAAAAAAAAUCAUGUUUUAUUCAAUUAAUACAAUUUAUGAUGCUUGAUAGAUAUCAGAAAGAUUUUGGUCAAAGUGAGAUUUGUCCCCUUGAAUCAUACCUCAGCCAAUAAAUGCGACUGUUAUUUUCUUCAAAAAAAAUUGUGAUUAUUAUUUCUUAAAAAAAAAAUUGUGGGUUCUAUUGCUGAUUUUCUUAGUUACGAGACUAAGGGUGCUUCAAAGGUUGUACUUCUACAAUGAUCAAUGAGUAUAACAAGUGUUGUAUGAUUUAUGAAGUUGUUUAGUAAAUCGAAUUCUAAGAAAAAAUGAAGGGUGUAGCGGUGAUGAAAUGUAUCAGAGGAAGGAGAGAGGAAGAGGUGAGAUAGAUUGUGUGUGAAAAAGUAUAAAUGCUCUCAUAUUUAUUUUGAAUGAAUCUGGUCCCUUGAUUAAAUCCAACUGCAUUUCAUUCGUGGUCCACUGGUGAGAGACUUAAUUGGACCCUCACUCUAGAAUCCACCCAAAAAUCCAUAAUUCUGAAUUUAAAAAGGUCAUUUUUUUUUUUCAAAAAAAAAAGGUUUAUUUUAAUUUUUUCUACAACAUUCUGAAAAAUAUAUAAAAAAUUCAGAUUUUUAUAAAAUAUGAAAAAAAUUAUUCCUGAAUUUUUAAAAAUCUUUUUCAAAAUUUAAAAAAAUAUAUAUUUUUACGAAAUUUAAAAAAAAAGGUCAGAUUUUUUUUAAAAAAAAAUUUCUUCAAAAUUCUGAAAAAUAUUUUAAUUUUUAAAAAUCUGGAUGCAAAUUAUUUUAAAAAUAUAUAAAUAGAUGAAGAUUGAUGGUGAUUUUAAAUUUAUAUUUUUAAGAAAAUCAAGAAAAAUAGAAAUGAUUAUAUGUUGUGAGCCCAUUGUAUACUUGUGUACUUUUCAAAUCUAACCCUUGAUCACCAAUCUUAAAUGCAAUGUGGACAAUAGUUAACUAUUUUUGAAAACAAACUAACGGAGAGGACCAAAAGAGGUAACGACAGAAGACAUAAUGGACCAAAUUUAGACACUUUAUAAUUAGGGGACCAAAAUGAAAUCCAAAAAUAAGUUAAGGGACCAAAGCAUGUAUUAAGCUUUUUCAUAUCUAGAAUAAAGAUUGAGAAAUUUAAGUUGAAGUGUGGGAAAAACCAAAAGUGUAACAAGAUUAUGGUUUGCAAAUAUAAAAUUAUAAGCUUAGAAAUAACAUAAAAUUAUUUUUCACUUUCACUAUUAAAGAUAUUUUGGUAGUCGGUAGGGUUAGAAAGUAAACGUGAUAUGCUUAAAUUGAAGGUCAUGAUGAUAUCUCUAAAGUUACAAGAGAAGAAGACAAUCUAGAUAAUAUUUUUUUUUGUUGUCUUCUUUCAUUUCAUUGGCAUAAUCCUAGAAUACAAAACUAUAACUACAACCGUGUAAUUAGAAUAACUAAAAGAAAAUUGAAUUAUUGCAAGACAACUCUUAGAGUAUAAAACCAUAACUACAACUGUGUAAUUAGAAAAAACUAAGAAAAAAUCAAAUUUUUGCAUGACAACAAAAUAAGUAAAUGAAAGCUCAUUGAAUACAAAAUAAGGUCAUAUACUCUGUAAUAUAUGAGAUCGUUCUAACACUCACAAUAACGUCCUACACACUUUGGUAUAAUACUACCAGCUCCGCACAUGAACCCCGGACAAGUAUCAUCCCUGCCACAUAGAACUAUAAAUAAAAUGUUAAUAUAUUAAGUAUGAAGUAACGAAGAAUGAUGAGUGAUUAAAAAUAAUCCAAAGAAUAUAAAAUAGGAGCACCAAAGUAAUGGUUUCAUAUAAAUGAGGGGACUAAAAUUUUGAUUAAAUUAAAAUAAGAAGGCCAAAAGUGUUUUUCUUUUUUGUGGUGGUCUGGGUUCGAAUCUCGAAUCUUACAUAUAUUAUACAUUGUUCCUACCAACUAAUCUAAACUCAAGACCAAAAAUGCAUUUAAGUCUACUUUAAAAUUUAUUAUGUUCACAAUCUCCUUACAUCAAAAAGAUUUUAGCGCUUAUGGGGUGGUAAAAAAACUUCCUAAAAUUUUAAUAUUGAUUAAAUGUCUCUUAAUUAAUUCCCUAAAAAAAAAAAAAAUAUCUCUUGAUUAUAUCAAUGUGUUGUUUUUGUCCCUUUACCACAAUUAAUAAGGAGGUCAUAUAAAAAACUUUUCAUACCAGAUAAUUCCUUCUACUUUUUUUUUUACCAAAUUUUUAUUAUUUCGUAACCUUUCAUAAUGAAAGGGAAAACGACGCAGGGUCAGGAUUCGAGCUUCGAACACUCAAAUUAUUCAUCUUAAGAUAUGAAAUUAUACUUGCCAAAUAAACAUAGGGAAAACGAUAAAACAAGAAUAAUAAUGUUAAUAAUUACUAAAUAUCUCUUAGGUACAUCAAUAUGUUGUAUUUGUCCCUUUAUCACACUUAGUAAAGAGAUCACAUAAAAAUCCUACCAAUCAUAAGAAUUCUUUUUUUGUUUGCCAAAUUUUCAUUAUUUUAUAACCUUUUGUGAAAGAAAAGGGAUCUCAAAACAAUAGUAAUAUUGUUCGACAAUGCAACACCUCAAUUUUCCUAUAGUCUUGCUUAUGAUCGAUGGUUAUUGUGUUUAUGAUGAUUUUGAGCUAUGGGAUUAAGUGUAGGAUAUAUUCAAUGAGCUUACAAACCUCUUUAGAAUGAGAUAGCCUUUUACACAAAUCAAUGUGAAGCGAUCUCUACAUUAUUCUAUCGAUAUACGAAGCUAUAACUUUUAUAACUUAGAGUUGUAAUUUUCUAAAUCAUGCAAACCUUUAUUUUUACCAAGUUAAUUCGUUAACUAAACGUUUUUACUUGAAUCUCUAAAUUCUUUUUAUAUGCUUUAUUUACUUAUGCAUUUUAUGUUAGUAUCUUAGAAUCUUAAAAUUUUAUCUCUGUUGUUUGUCAUUUUGGAUCAUAAAUAACUAAACUUAAUAUUUAAAAAUACUUGAAACUUAUCCACUUCAAUCCUCGUUAAAUUGAUACUUUACUUGCACUCGAUGUGUAUUGAAAAUAAUCAACUAUUUUCUAAGUAUCAAUCGGUGCCUGGUAUUUUGUUUUUACAAUUGAUUUUAUUGUUUUGAGUUUUUAUCCACUAUUCAUUUUAUCUGAAUGUUGGAAAUGGAGUAGCAGAGGUCGUUGCAUCCAAAUAGUUGUGUUUCUUUGUUUUUUAAAUAACUAAGAUAAGAUAGGGGAGAGUUUGUACUACUAUUAAUUAAAGUGGCACAAAUUCUCGUUUUACAAUCAUCCUUUAAAAUAUUUGAACUUUAUAUACUGAGGUUAUAAAGGAUAAACUUAUAGAGUAAGCUAGCACCUCAAGUGUCAUUUGCUUUGUGUUUCACUAUGACAAAAAUCCUACAAAAAAAAAAGAGGAUGUGGCGAACUCGCUCACCAUCCUUUGUUGGGAACCCGUCCUCUUGUGACAAUCAUCUUGCAUUUCCUAAUUAUUUUCUUAUCUUGAGAAUUUAAGUUGAAGUGUAAGAAAAACCAAAAGUGUAAUAAGAUUAUGACACAUAUAAAAUUAUAUGUUCAGAAGUAACAUAAAAUUAUUUUUCAAUUUAACUAUUAAAGAUACUUUAAUUUAAGGUCAUGAUAAUAUCUUGAAGUUAUGAGAGAAGAAGACAAUCUAGAUCCUAAAUAAUAUUUUUUGACGUCUUAUUUCAUUUCAUUAGCAUAAUUUUAGAGUACAAAACUAUAAGAAAAACUAUAAUAAAAAAAAAAAUUCAAAUUAUUGCAUGACAACACAAUAAAUAAAUGAAAGCUCAUUGAAUAAUCCGAGAGAAUUUGCGUCUCUCUUGGGUCUUGUACUCUGUCAUAUAUGAAAUCAUUCUAACACUCACAAAAACGUCCUACACAUGAACUUUGGACAACGACCAUCCCUACCGCAUAGAACUAUAAAAAUAAAAAAAAUGUUACUAAAAUGUGAGAAAAUAUUAAGUACGAAGUAACGAAAAAUGUUGAAAAGGAAAAAAUUGUUUUACCUCUCAUGCUCAUUGUAACAAUAAGUGGAGAAAUAAAGAUGAUCAUAUCAAAAAUAUUUUUUGUUAUUGGAGUCAUGUUUGUUCCUCUGUUUCUUGUGAGUAGCUCUUAGCAGUAUCUCAUCUUAUAUUGUUAUAUAUAUGCUUCGAAUAAUUUUAAUUGAUCUCGUACCACUUUAUUACAUUGGCUGUUAUUUUGGCCUUUAGAAUAGGUGAUUUUGCAAAAUUCUUUUUGUAUUGUGGUUGGUGUGUCGAUUAAGACAUUGUUUAUCUUGCUUGGGUUAGCAUCCCUUUUGU
This 7635-nucleotide long non-coding RNA is filed under the name Medicago truncatula (barrel medic). RNAcentral describes it as "long non-coding RNA (MTRU_LNC005617)". The record is from RNAcentral. Lineage: Eukaryota; Viridiplantae; Streptophyta; Magnoliopsida; Fabales; Fabaceae.